This 4101-nucleotide long non-coding RNA is filed under the name Oryza sativa Indica Group (long-grained rice). RNAcentral describes it as "lncRNA OsZS97_03G024760". The record is from RNAcentral. Lineage: Eukaryota; Viridiplantae; Streptophyta; Magnoliopsida; Poales; Poaceae.
CAGCUCACGCCAUUGUCCAGAGGUUUUUCCCCUUUCCCCACUUCACCUAAGAGCUCACGCCACUGACCGGCGGUCGUUGAGGCGGAGGAGGAGAGCGUCGGCGUGCCGUGCAGCACUGCGUCCUCUGCUCGUUGUCAUCAGUGGUGUGCAGCCGCGCAACGAGGCGGGUGAUAUUGACCUCUCGUGUGCAGUCUCUUGGAGACCGCAUCCCGUGGAAAGGGGCGUCGGUGUGCUGUGUCGCCGGCAGCGAUUCUAGCAUUGAUGCUUCAAGCAGGCAUCGAUUCUUGCUGCGCAGGAGCAUCGAUUCUUGAUGCGCAGGAGCAGCCUUCCAAGGCAGCCUAUUUUAGAGCCCUCAGUGGAUCAUGGCUGCAAGAGGAGUGAAGAGGAAAUUGCCAUCCCAAGAACCUACCCUAUCCGCAUCCCCCUGUUCGGCGUCACCCCUCGGCUCCGGCAAGCUGGUAGAGGCAUCGGCCGAUCUGGAAUCUAGCGAGGAUUCCACCCAGUCCUACCUCUCCGACGCUGCUUCCAGAGCCACUGCCCAAGAAGAUGUGGAGCUCGUCGCUCGUGUGCUGUCAAGGGUAGCUGCGAAGUCACCCGAAGCUAUCUGUCAGUUCGUCCGCCGCCUGACGCCGGCGAAGGUUGCGCGCUCGCUGGAUUGGGACCUGCUCGAGUCCGACAGGCUAAGAAAGAUGGCCGGCGGAGGGCACUGUCACUGGAGCAAGGAUGAACUGUUGGCGUUCCUCCAGAGUUGCUUGGAGGAAAUCGCAGCGCGCAACAUCACGUCGUCCUGCCCCAAAACUCUGGGGUAUGCCAACUUGCAGGCCAAGAUGCUGUCGAAGGUAGGGAAGCAUGUGACCAAGGCCCAGGGCUCUUGCCACCGCCGAUUUGUUACCUGGACAUGGCUGGAAUCAAUGGCAACUGGGCUAGGAAGGAACCCCUACACUGGCAGCAUCGACGCUAGCCCAGAGUGGUGGGAAGCAAUGGAAGCGGCCCCUCUCCAGGAGAGAAGAUCGGUUUUUACGAGACUUGAAGGGUUGAAGGUUCCUAUCGCCGGUGAAACUCCGGCGACCAAGACGGUGGAGCAAAUCACGGAGGGAGAUCCUAUUUCUGUGCGUAACUUGAAUUCAAAUUUCAUACCUUUCUGUACACAUUGUUUGGAUAAGGGCCAUAUUGCUUCUGAUUGCUCUGAGCCUAUUCGGUGCCAUUCUUGCCUGGAGGCUGGUCAUAUAGCCCGUUUCUGUACCACUAGGCCCGCUAAGGCCCAUCAACCUGUGGGAAAGUUUCCGAAACAGAGUUCUCGGAAUAACUUAGUUUGGAGAGCUAAAUCUUCUCCGGCCAAAAAGACGAUGGUUUCUCCCCGUAUCCCUUCCUCUCCCAGGAACAAUGUUCAAUCUAAUCCCCAAAAUUUCCCCUCGCUCGCAAUGGCUGAUCUCAACCCUAACCCGCAACGUUUUCUUCGUCAAGGCCAAGUGGUUCAUCAAGGUGGUAACUUGCGUGUGCCGCGUGUUGAUCUCACCGUCCCGCAGCGUCCGCCCCGACGUCAUGAGGAUGUCUGCAUCGCAAUUGUGGAGCCGGCCAUCCCUGAGCAUGAAUGGGAUCAUCACCGGCGCUUAUCUCGGAUCACAUUUUUGAAGUACACAUGUAUGAGGUUCGUACUGCUUACCGUCACCCUUCGGCAGUUGCUUCGUUCGGUCAUGCAUAGAGAUGCCUUGGUAAACUCUCCCCCUGCUGCAUAUGAUGGGAUGCAUACUGUUGAGUUUGUGAAGCAUGACCAAGGGCCAAACUGGCGUGCCUGUCACUUUAUUCGGGAGGGCUGGUUUCUUCUCUUGGAUUUCCCACUAGAUUUUGUUGAUCGUCACCAUAUAAAUCUAGCGGUAGCUUCUUUUAGACAGCUUUCUUUUUGGCUUGAUAGGGACCACAUGUUGGGUAGAGUGUUUGUGAGAGCAAAGUAUAGAGAUCUUGACUCGGUCCCCCGGAAAAUAGUGUUACAGGAUCCUUUGGGAAUGGAUCACCCAAUGGGCCAGGUUGAAGAAAACCCGGGACAAUUGAUUAUCUUGCCUAAUCAAGAGGAGCAGGAGCUUAAUCUGUUUGAACAGGAGCAACAAGUUCAGCUGUUUCUGGCCAGGCUCAAGGAUAUAGCUGACAGGGAAGGACCAAAGCACCCAUCUUUUUAUCCUAUGGCAGGAUUGCUGAAGAAAAUUGAUCAUCUGUGCAAAGCUGAGGAAAUUAUGCAGGCAGCUCAAAUUCCUAGCCCCACAUCUCUGCCAUACAGCUCUCCUUUCAUGACCCUCGUACUCCCUAAAAGGAAGGCAAUGUUUGAUCAUGCUCCUCCUGCAGUAAAAAGAGCACAUUCCAGUUGGGCUUUAUUGCCUUCCCCCUCUGAAGAUGGGCUUUCUGAUCAGGAGAUUUUGGAUGUUGUACCUUUGCAAGCCCAGCCAUCAAGUCCAGAAGUCACCCCAGCAGUGCUUCAGAUUCCUAUGGCUCCUGUCAAAAAAAGGGAUGGGAAGACUAUUCUGUAUAAUCCUGCUAGAAGACAGAGCUCUAGGCUUCUUAAUUCCAACCAAGAGCUCAAAUUCGAUCAUCGAAUGGGAAUAGGCAAACCAAGGGGAAAUAAAAUUACUGAAUCUGAUUUCAAUGUUGUGGAAGAUGAGAUAAACUUAGAUUCUUCCCCUUCUGAUUGUUCAUUAUCUUUGUUGCAAAAGAUGGGGGUGGAUCUAUGUGGUCUGAAUCCUGAGGAGCAGAGGAAAGGGGCAAGAUCAUUCAUGCAUGCCCCUCUCAGGUUUAUUCCAGAGCACCAUGCUGUUUUCAGAGGGAGGACAGCAGUCGGCAACCGUUCAAGUGUCCCUGGAGCUCAGCCUGAACAGCCUCAGGUGCUAGCCAACGCAGCCAUCGAUGAGCUUGUGGACUUGCCGGAUACGCCACCAUCACCUGAGCCACAACCCAUGCCUCCCAGGCGUAGGGGCAAAAGGGUGGCAACACCGGGCAGUAAUUCCAGGGGUUCCAAGAAGACCCGCAGCGAUUCAACUGGUGAAGCUUUGCAGAGGCUUGCUGACCUGAGGGUUAAGUCGAGCAAAGCUCAAAAGCAGCGCGAGCGAGAGGCGAUGGGUGCUAGGGCUUGCAUUGAGCUGCUAAAGGGUGAUGGGCACUUAUUUAGCUCCGAUGUUUACCACAUGGGGAUUUACCUUUUUAGUGAUCCCUACUUCUGUGAGUUCUUCCUAGCUGAUGCCAUUACACCGGAGAUGCGUGAGUAUUACAUUCGAGCCCAUUAUGCCAUGAAGUGUCCAGGGGGAGGGUUUUUCCCUCCUCCAUCAUGCUCAGGAGGCUGGUUUCCUGGUGGUGGAGGGUUUGAUGGGGGCCAGGGGGGUGAGGGGGUGACCUUGGGGAUGAUGGUGCUGGGGGUGCUGAUGGAGCAGCAGUGUGCUGAGGAGGCUGAAGCUACAAAGUGCUCAAGCAGCUUUUUAAUUUCCAUCGUCAUGAGGAUGAGCACCGAUUCUGAGAACAACUCAAGUUCUGAAGAUGGAUACACAAGUGAAGAGGAUGAAGCUAUUGUAGAGUUGGUGGCUGCUGUUGAUCAAAGGAAUGGGCCUAGAAGAGCUCCUAGAAGGGUCCCUCGCCAAUCCGGAAUGGAAUGGGUUAUGGAGACAAUGGCCAACCCAGAGCAGUGCCACAACAUGUUUCGCAUGAGAUCGGACCAGAUUCAUGCUCUGUACAAUCUACUCGUCAGCAGGUACCAUCUCACUGGUUUGCCCUAUGGAAGCUAUUGGGAUGUUUCUGUAUGCAAUGGCAAGGGGUAUUCAAUGAGGUCAGUGAACAAUAGAAUGGUUCGUUGCAAUGCCACUGUGAAUAGAUAUUUUCACAGGGUGUUGAAUGCUGUUAAUGAAAUGGCAGCCGACAUCAUCAAACCAGUUAAUCCCAACAGCUUCCCACAGCAUUACCGACUGCAGCAAGAGCCCGUCUUCGAACCAUUCCGUGAUGCAAUUGGAGCAGUCGAUGGUACGCACAUUCCUGUUAUGGUGCGUAGGACAAGUUCCAUUGCUCACAGGAACCAUCACAAUGAGACUUCGAGGAAUGUGCUCACUGUUAUUGGUUGAGAUGAAAGGG